ACCCGCUGAACUUAAGCAUAUCAAUAAGCGGAGGAAAAGAAACCAACAGGGAUUGCCCUAGUAACGGCGAGUGAAGCGGCAAGAGCUCAAAUUUGAAAGCUGGCUCCUUUGGGGUCCGCAUUGUAAUUUGCAGAGGAUGCUUCGGGAGCGGCCCCCGUCUAAGUGCCCUGGAACGGGCCGUCAUAGAGGGUGAGAAUCCCGUCUGGGACGGGGUGUCCGCGCCUGUGUGAAGCUCCUUCGACGAGUCGAGUUGUUUGGGAAUGCAGCUCUAAAUGGGUGGUAAAUUUCAUCUAAAGCUAAAUAUUGGCCGGAGACCGAUAGCGCACAAGUAGAGUGAUCGAAAGAUGAAAAGCACUUUGAAAAGAGAGUUAAAAAGCACGUGAAAUUGUUGAAAGGGAAGCGCUUGCGACCAGACUCGCCCGCGGGGUUCAGCCGGCAUUCGUGCCGGUGUACUUCCCCGUGGGCGGGCCAGCGUCGGUUUGGGCGGCCGGUCAAAGGCCUCCGGAAUGUAUCGCCUCUCGGGGCGUCUUAUAGCCGGGGGUGCAAUGCGGCCUGCCUGGACCGAGGAACGCGCUUCGGCACGGACGCUGGCAUAAUGGUCGUAAGCGACCCGUCUUGAAACACGG
RNAcentral lists this ribosomal RNA (626 nucleotides) under uncultured fungus. RNAcentral describes it as "LSU rRNA". It matches the Rfam family "Eukaryotic large subunit ribosomal RNA", at positions 23 to 664 of the family's 3401-position model. Lineage: Eukaryota; Fungi. The record is from RNAcentral.